Molecule: long non-coding RNA, 1303 nt
Organism: Rhincodon typus (whale shark)
Lineage: Eukaryota; Metazoa; Chordata; Chondrichthyes; Orectolobiformes; Rhincodontidae
Exons: 2
Source: RefSeq, a predicted model, not a curated record
UUGGACAAAGUGAGCUCCAGUUUCUGGAGGAGACAGUGGCCUGCAGUUCAGAUCUAGAGAGGACUGGUGCAUUACCAGAAGUUACUACAGUCCCUGAAAAUGGCAACAGAGCACUAAUCCAAACCAGGAUCCCUGCUACCCCUUUUCCAAGAACCAGCCGAAGUUUUACUCAUCGUGUUGAGACUGUAGUUAUCCAGUGGUUACAGAUGAAUGGAAACAGAGUCAGAGAGGUGUCAAGGAUCAAGAAAAAGUCAUUGUUUCUUUAAUACAAAAUUAAAAAUGUUAACAUUUUAUACUUACCCUCCACUUUUUCACUAACACCAAUUUGUUUCAAACUGUCCAUCCAAAUGUUUAACUUCUAUGUUAUGAUCAUUUCACACUAUAUAUUUAAAUUCAGAAUAUUUAGCAUAUCAAAAUUUAUUGCAAUUUGGUUACAGCAUGAGAAUUAAAACAAAUAUAAUUUAAUAGUUUGACUAAAGUCAUAUUUAGUUGUUUAAAGAAACUUUUAUUCUUGGGAUGUGGAUGUCAUUUGCAUAGCUUCUGUUAAUCAUCCAUCCCUGGCUGCUGUGAGAUGGUGGUAGAGCCUUCCGAGAACCACAGAAGCAGUUUUAUGCUGCUGAUCAAUUGACCAGUAGCUGACUUGUCAACAUUAGUGUGUGACUGGAGUUGCACACAAGUCAGCUUUCCUUCCCUAAAGGAUAUGGGUGAAUUGACUGAAAAUCAAACAACAGAAUGGUUGCUUUAUUGAUAUUUAUUUCCAAAUAUUUAAAAACUGUAUUUGAAUUCUCAGCUACUGUGGUAGCAUUUGAGCUCCUACUUGCUGAGUUGAUAGUACAGUUUCUGUACUGUAGUUCAGUAACAGCCAAUACACUGCUGUAACCCCAUGAUGUUUUGGGGGUUCAUUUAAUUUGUGUCUAUUGUUACAAUUGUAAUGUGGAUAUUGUAUGUGAUAUACUUUAUCAAUGCAGAAUCAUUUUGGGUACAAAGUAAGAAAUAUAACUCAGGAGAAUAUCCAGCACAAUAAAGCUGAGGUGUGAGGCCCUCUCUAAGGAAGGUGACUGUUCAAGGGUUUGAACUUUGCAGUAUGUGAUGUAACUGCAGCCUUAAUGGACCAAAGUACAGUUGCAUUCUUUUAUCAACAUCAACUUUAUUUAGCUACAUCAAAAUAUAGGAACUUCAAGCAGUGAGUACUUGUAGAUACUUCCUAUAUUUCUGGUUUGUACUGAUGAAAAAAAUUCUGUAAUCGUAAUUGCCAUGUAAAGUCACUUGGUGCAAUAGAAAUAAAAUCAGAAGUGGUAAUCUA